RNAcentral lists this ribosomal RNA (468 nucleotides) under uncultured bacterium. Its description in RNAcentral is "partial 16S ribosomal RNA". It matches the Rfam family "Bacterial small subunit ribosomal RNA", at positions 28 to 507 of the family's 1533-position model. The record is from RNAcentral.
GACGAACGCUGGCGGCGCGCCUAACACAUGCAAGUCGAACGGAGCUGAGAGAAGCUUGCUUUUCUUAGCUUAGUGGCGAACGGGUGAGUAACGCGUGAGUAACCUGCCCUGGAGUGGGGGACAACAGUUGGAAACGACUGCUAAUACCGCAUAAGCCCACGAUCCGGCAUCGGGUUGGGGGAAAAGGUUUUAUUCGCUUCAGGAUGGACUCGCGUCCAAUUAGCUGUUUGGUGAGGUAACGGCCCACCAAGGCGACGAGUGGUAGCCGGACUGAGAGGUUGAACGGCCACAUUGGGACUGAGACACGGCCCAGACUCCUACGGGAGGGAGCAGUGGGGGAUAUUGCACGAUGGGGGAAACCCUGAUGCAGCGACGCCGCGUGGAGGAAGAAGGUUUUCGGAUUGUAAACUCCUGUCGUUAGGGACGAUAAUGACGGUACCUAACAAGAAAGCACCGGCUAACUACGUG